AUUGAACGCUGGCGGCAUGCCUUACACAUGCAAGUCGAACGGCAGCGCGGGGCAACCUGGCGGCGAGUGGCGAACGGGUGAGUAAUAUAUCGGAACAUGCCCAGAAGUGGGGGAUAACGUAGCGAAAGUUACGCUAAUACCGCAUACGAUCUACGGAUGAAAGUGGGGGACCGCAAGGCCUCAUGCUUUUGGAGUGGCCGAUAUCUGAUUAGCUAGUUGUGGGGUAAAGGCCUACCAAGGCGACGAUCAGUAGCUGGUCUGAGAGGACGACCAGCCACACUGGAACUGAGACACGGUCCAGACUCCUACGGGAGGCAGCAGUGGGGAAUUUUGGGACAAUGGGGGCAACCCUGAUCCAGC
RNAcentral lists this ribosomal RNA (360 nucleotides) under uncultured bacterium. Its description in RNAcentral is "bacterial SSU rRNA". It matches the Rfam family "Bacterial small subunit ribosomal RNA", at positions 30 to 392 of the family's 1533-position model. The record is from RNAcentral.